GGCAAGGAGCGGAUACGGCCAGGUGUCAGAGCUGCUGGAGACAGACUCAUCACACCAUGGCAGCCACUGCUCCAUGCAUGUUCCGGGAAGUAGUGGGAGCCAGCCACAGGAGCCAUCUUAGCAAGGGGGUGGGCACCCCCAGGAACAUUACUGAAUUUACAGCCUGUACCCAGCGUGGAAACAUGAUGUUGGUGGAAACCGUUCCUGGCAAGGUUGCCAGCUCUCUGACUGAAAGGGGAAAACAAGCUUUCCAGUGUUUUCAACUCCUAAGAAACCAACUGAACCAGUUGAAUAAACUGAAAUAAAGAAACUAUUCUCUGCAGAAGAUACUACUGCUGUCAAAAGAUGUCUCAAUAGCAUAUCCUUUCCUGUUGCUCCCAGAUGUCAUACACUGAGCUAUGGUUAUGAUCUGUCCCAAGGUUUGAGACCAGUCUCUGUUAUUUUGGAUUUGGAGGAAACCUAUCUGCAAGCCAGAUGCCAACACAUCUUUCCUCAUGGACCACACACCCUCCCCCAGACAAAAAAUGUAUUUAAGAAAAAAGUCGGAAUAUGUUCAAUAUUCUGAGACCUGUGCCUUACCCCUUAGAGUAUGUUUGGAUGGUUUACUCCAAAUUAAAAUUGCCUGACCUGAAACCAAAGAAGUUUCAUUGUUAGUACAGGAUCACUACA
This is a long non-coding RNA of Mauremys reevesii (Reeves's turtle), 669 nucleotides long. RefSeq lists it as uncharacterized. The transcript is spliced from 4 exons. The record is from RefSeq and is a predicted model, not a curated record. NCBI's taxonomy places the organism in Eukaryota, Metazoa, Chordata, Testudines, Geoemydidae.